RNAcentral lists this ribosomal RNA (254 nucleotides) under uncultured bacterium. Its description in RNAcentral is "partial 16S ribosomal RNA". It matches the Rfam family "Bacterial small subunit ribosomal RNA", at positions 524 to 776 of the family's 1533-position model. The record is from RNAcentral.
UACGGAGGGGGCAAGCGUUGUUCGGAAUUACUGGGCGUAAAGGGCGCGCAGGCGGCUGCUCAAGUCAGGCGUGAAAGGCCUGGGCUCAACCCGGGAAUUGCGCUUGAGACUGGGCUGGCUUGAGUGCGGGAGAGGAUGGUGGAAUUCCCAGUGUAGAGGUGAAAUUCGUAGAUAUUGGGAAGAACACCGGUGGCGAAGGCGGCCUUCUGGACGGAUACUGACGCUGAGGCGCGAAAGCCAGGGGAGCAAACGGG